CCUACGGGGGGCAGCAGUGGGGAAUAUUGCACAAUGGGCGCAAGCCUGAUGCAGCCAUGCCGCGUGUGUGAAGAAGGCCUUCGGGUUGUAAAGCACUUUCAGCGGGGAGGAAGGCGGUGAGGUUAAUAACCUCAUCGAUUGACGUUACCCGCAGAAGAAGCACCGGCUAACUCCGUGCCAGCAGCCGCGGUAAUACGGAGGGUGCAAGCGUUAAUCGGAAUUACUGGGCGUAAAGCGCACGCAGGCGGUCUGUCAAGUCGGACGUGAAAUCCCCGGGCUCAACCUGGGAACUGCAUUCGAAACUGGCAGGCUAGAGUCUUGUAGAGGGGGGUAGAAUUCCAGGUGUAGCGGUGAACUGCGUAGAGAUCUGGAGGAAUACCGGUGGCGGAGGCGGCCCCCUGGACAAAGACUGACGCUCAGGUGCGAAAGCGUGGGGAGCAAACAGGAUUAGAUACCCGGGUAGUC
RNAcentral lists this ribosomal RNA (465 nucleotides) under uncultured Klebsiella sp. RNAcentral's name for it is "bacterial SSU rRNA". It matches the Rfam family "Bacterial small subunit ribosomal RNA", at positions 338 to 795 of the family's 1533-position model. Lineage: Bacteria; Pseudomonadati; Pseudomonadota; Gammaproteobacteria; Enterobacterales; Enterobacteriaceae. The record is from RNAcentral.